AGCGAACGCUGGCGGUAGGCCUAACACAUGCAAGUCGAACGGCAGCACAGUAAGAGCUUGCUCUUACGGGUGGCGAGUGGCGGACGGGUGAGGAAUACAUCGGAAUCUACUUUUUCGUGGGGGAUAACGUAGGGAAACUUACGCUAAUACCGCAUACGACCUACGGGUGAAAGCAGGGGAUCUUCGGACCUUGCGCGAUUGAAUGAGCCGAUGUCGGAUUAGCUAGUUGGCGGGGUAAAGGCCCACCAAGGCGACGAUCCGUAGCUGGUCUGAGAGGAUGAUCAGCCACACUGGAACUGAGACACGGUCCAGACUCCUACGGGAGGCAGCAGUGGGGAAUAUUGGACAAUGGGCGCAAGCCUGAUCCAACCAUACCGCGUGGGUUGAGAAGGCCUUCGGGUUGUAAAGCCCUUUUGUUGGGAAAGAAAAGCAGCAGGUUAAUACCCCGCUGUUCUGACGGUACCCAAAGAAUAAGCACCGGCUAACUUCGUG
Molecule: ribosomal RNA, 492 nt
Filed under: uncultured bacterium
Lineage: Bacteria
Description: partial 16S ribosomal RNA
Rfam family: Bacterial small subunit ribosomal RNA
Source: RNAcentral